AAGAAGCCAAAUGGACAGCACCCAUAACCACAAACACGAUGGACAAGGAUCAAAGAAGAAAAUAAAAUGGGAAAAACCAGAAGGAAAAACGUCAGAAGGAAAUUGCAAGGAAAAAGAAAAAGAACGUUGGAAAUAAGAGAGGAAUUUUGGGAAACAAAACAAAAUUAAAAUUAAAAUUCAAAAAAAAUUAUCUAAACUCCCCCACUACCCCACUAACAACCAAAUCCCACAAAAUCCAACACAUUAAUCAUCAUCCAACAACCAAAGAAUUUCAAUCACUAAACCUCUACUACAC
Molecule: long non-coding RNA, 295 nt
Filed under: Gossypium raimondii (Peruvian cotton)
Lineage: Eukaryota; Viridiplantae; Streptophyta; Magnoliopsida; Malvales; Malvaceae
Description: long non-coding RNA (GRAI_LNC005677)
Source: RNAcentral